GAUGAACGCUGGCGGCGUGCUUAACACAUGCAAGUCGAACGAAGCAUUUACUUACGAUCCCUUCGGGGUGACGAGUAUCUGACUUAGUGGCGGACGGGUGAGUAACGCGUGGGUAACCUGCCUUGUACCGGGGGACAACAGUUGGAAACGACUGCUAAUACCGCAUAAGCGCACAGUAUCGCAUGAUACAGUGUGAAAAACUCAGGUGGUACAAGAUGGACCCGCGUCUGAUUAGCUAGUUGGUGGGGUAACUGCCUACCAAGGCGACGAUCAGUAGCCGACUUGAGAGAGUGAUCGGCCACAUUGGGACUGAGACACGGCCCAA
Molecule: ribosomal RNA, 325 nt
Filed under: uncultured bacterium
Lineage: Bacteria
Description: bacterial SSU rRNA
Rfam family: Bacterial small subunit ribosomal RNA
Source: RNAcentral